Drosophila persimilis is the source of this 412-nucleotide long non-coding RNA. RefSeq lists it as uncharacterized. The transcript is spliced from 6 exons. The record is from RefSeq and is a predicted model, not a curated record. Lineage: Eukaryota; Metazoa; Arthropoda; Insecta; Diptera; Drosophilidae.
UACUUCACCCGCGUGCGAGAUUGUUUGUGAAAAAUGUGAUCUCUUAUGUAUGGGAUGCUGCGACAGUGCGCAAGGCAAUUGAGAAUGGAUACAAAAUGGAAGUCUUGAUAUCCCGACCACGUGUUCAACGACUGAUGUUCUAAAUGGUUAUCGGUGGAUAUCUAUUGAAUGAAGAUGCUGUGGUCAAUGCAUGUACUCUGCCGGUCAUUUACACGUGUAUAAAAACAUGUGAAUAUACAUCUAAAUGGUCUUUUGGUUUUGUGGCAAAAGGAGCCGUAUGGAAAUUAAUACAUGUGGUUGAACAUUUUAGGUUCGACACGGCUACAGUUACGUCCCACGUGCCUAUCCACCACAAAUAUAUGCACAUAGCCCAAUAAAUGCUAAUAAAUGACUACAUUUCAAAUAUUAAAAA